Mycena alexandri is the source of this 98-nucleotide non-coding RNA. The record is from the annotation of a GenBank genome assembly. Lineage: Eukaryota; Fungi; Basidiomycota; Agaricomycetes; Agaricales; Mycenaceae.
GACCCAAUGGCAUAGUGGUUAGUGCGCUUGCUUUACAUGUGGUUGUUAGAGUAAGAAGAUUUCAGCAAGAGGCCCGUGUUCGAUUCACGGUUGGGUCA